UCCAUGUGUGACUUUAGCAUUUGUUGAGCAACUUUAUUAGCUAACUGUGUAGCCAAUUGAUGUUUAGAUGCUUGAUAUAAUUGGUAAUUGAUAAUGUCAUAUGUUUGACACGAAUCUAAUCUGGAACUCUCCUUGGAAAUAAUUGAAUUCAUGAGCUACUGACGGAGUUUACAAUUACAUGUACUGCAUCUUGCAUCUUUCAGUCAGGUUGGUUGUAUUUUAGAACCUGGAGUCCACG
RNAcentral lists this long non-coding RNA (238 nucleotides) under Nicotiana benthamiana. RNAcentral's name for it is "long non-coding RNA (NBEN_LNC021698)". Lineage: Eukaryota; Viridiplantae; Streptophyta; Magnoliopsida; Solanales; Solanaceae. The record is from RNAcentral.